RNAcentral lists this ribosomal RNA (464 nucleotides) under uncultured bacterium. RNAcentral describes it as "partial 16S ribosomal RNA". It matches the Rfam family "Bacterial small subunit ribosomal RNA", at positions 338 to 795 of the family's 1533-position model. The record is from RNAcentral.
CCUACUGGGGGCAGCAGUAGGGAAUUUUCCGCAAUGAGCGAAAGCUUGACGGAGCGACACAGCGUGCAGGAUGAAGGUCUUCGGAUUGUAAACUGCUGUUGUCAGGGAAGAAAACAUUUAAUAGGAAAUGAUUCAAUCUUGACGGUACCUUAUUAGACAGUGACGGCUAACUAUGUGCCAGCAGCCGAGGUAAUACAUAGGUCACAAGCGUUAUCCGGAAUUAUUGGGCGUAAGGAGUUUGUAGGCGGUUUAUCAAGUCUAGAGUAAAAGCCUGAGGUUAAACCUCAGUCCGCUUUGGAUACUGGUUAACUAGAGUUAGAGAGAGGUAAACGGAAUUCUUAGUGAAGCGGUGGAAUGCGUAGAUAUUAGGAAGAACACCAACGGCGAAGGCAGUUUACUGGAUAUACACUGACGCUCAAGAACGAAAGCGUGGGGAGCAAACAGGAUUAGAUACCCUAGUAGUC